GAUACACACAGCACUAAAGACUGAUCACUUUUAGUCUUGUGUGAAAGCUGGGCGUGGCUUUGCUUUUGCAGACCUCACAUUGCUGAAAAUGAAGUUCUGGAACGGCGCUGAUAAAGACCCUUGGUAGGAUAGGAGAACCUUUGGUGUGCAGCAGCGUGUACUUGUGUCGAGUGCGAUGUGGCUGUCGGCUUAUGCGGGAAUUUCAAGCAUGUGCUUCUUCUACUGUCCUCGACCUUUGAGGAGCUACUUCUGUUAAGAGUUCUGCUUAUCUGUGGUAUUUUAGAAUCUGGUACUGAAGAAGACAAAGAAGAAAGGGGCGGACUUGCUGAGGCAACUUCUGAUGGGGAAAAAACCCCCCGAUAAAUAGGCAAAGGCAAUAGGCAAUUGGAAAUGGGGAGCAAAAGGAAACUCAAUGAUCUCACCUGUGAGCCGUGGAUCAAAUAAUGGGACAUCUGGAAAAACACACCUUACGUUCACAUUUAGCACAGUCAGGCUUUUCAUUUCUGCUCUUUUCAUUUCUACUUUAAAGUUCACAACAAAUGACUUGCAGUUUCAUCAAGAUAAGUACAAACCAGCCCUCGGACCUGCCCUCUUCAGCAUAAUGGGUUUCUUGUUUCACACGCAGCCAUGACUCAUCAGAGGCCUGUUUUAGACGUUGUUUUCUCUGGCCAUGUAACAGUGAAUUCAAAGCUUUGGGUAUGAACUUAUAUGUACUUCUCAGAACCGAGCCGUUUCUUUUAUUUCUCUUUAAACUGUUUAUAACUUCAUUAGAAUGCGGUCGCCACCUGACUCCCUUUACAGUCUGUUGUGUUUGUAAAGAGGGUGUCAGAUGUGGACUGAAUGGGCUUCACAACUCAGCAGGAGAGAAUGGGUGUUUUUUUUUGAAAGCUGAAAUUUGAGCCUUGUCCGGACACACGCGGCUGAUUGUUCUCUGGUAUUUAAAUCUCUGUUCAAAAGUGUGCCAAUAGCUCAGAGCUUUGACUACAGGUGUUUGUUUGAUUCCAGCGCAGCCGUUUGAGAGAUUUAUUUCCUAUUGCGAUCUGAUGGCUUAAACCGCGGCUUUACACCAAACAAAAGAAGCAUGUGGAAUUUGAACUUGAACAUGAAUGUUUUCGAAAGAGUUUGCCUUUGAUGUUGUGCGACCAGCAGAACCACACCGGCUCGUAUUACUCGUGGGUGGUUUAUGUAAUUCCCGGCUUCAGCACUGAAA
This is a long non-coding RNA of Synchiropus splendidus (mandarinfish), 1210 nucleotides long. RefSeq lists it as uncharacterized. The transcript has 4 exons. The record is from RefSeq and is a predicted model, not a curated record. Lineage: Eukaryota; Metazoa; Chordata; Actinopteri; Syngnathiformes; Callionymidae.